UGGCUCAGUCGGUUGAGCGUCUGACUUCGGCUCAGGUCAUGAUCCCACAGUUCGUGGGUUCAAACCCCAC
Molecule: transfer RNA, 70 nt
Filed under: Felis catus (domestic cat)
Lineage: Eukaryota; Metazoa; Chordata; Mammalia; Carnivora; Felidae
Rfam family: tRNA
About the family: Transfer RNA (tRNA) molecules are approximately 80 nucleotides in length.
Source: Rfam by way of RNAcentral